Molecule: long non-coding RNA, 852 nt
Organism: Canis lupus familiaris (dog)
Lineage: Eukaryota; Metazoa; Chordata; Mammalia; Carnivora; Canidae
Exons: 3
Source: RefSeq, a predicted model, not a curated record
UAGACGAAAAGGCUGAUUUCAGUGUUACAGUAAAAGUACAAGAUGAGCUUGAAAUCUCUUGUGCUAGAAGUGAGGGAGGUGUUCAGAGAAUAAUAUGGACGUGUCAAAAGGACACUUUGGUCACCACGGAGGAGCUUUCAUUAGCCAAGAAUGGAACAAUUUGAGUAUUAAAGUAAUGACAUAAAACUAUAACUCAUUGAAUAAAAGAAAUACAUGAAUUCACUUUGAUAUAAAUUUUUAAGAAUGAGAGAAGGAAAAAGUCUUCCUUUCAGUAGAAACCCAACUGAUAAAUGAAGAAAUGAUGGAGUUAGGAAAUCACCAUCAGCAACCAUCAUAACAAUCAGUGAAGGACAAUGAUACAAGGCCGUUGACUUCAGAGUCCCACUUCAUGUCUUUCUUUGCUGCCCAAUCUGUCUGCAGCUCUUUCCAUGGCUCAGAAAUAGGUGUGAACUUGAGCCUAGUAAACUGUGGCAUCUAAGAAAACCCUCAGAGAAGGAAACCUCAGAGAGAUGAAGAUGGAACCCUUGAGGCAGGAAGUUGAUAAUGGGCCUGGGAACUGUCCAGCAAGACCGCAGGUGAAUAAGAGGUUAUGCGGGAAGGCAUUGAUGGCAUCUGCUACGGUCUCCUAGCUUUAUUUUAGUGGCUGACCCAGUGUAAAUGCAUCAUCUCUGAACACAGAGCUGUUCAAUGGACACAGGUUGAAUCAAAUUCACUAAAAAAGUGUAAGUCAUUGAUAGAACUCUUUGUUUUUUCAGCAUUGAUUUCAGACUUCAAAUUCAUAACCAUGGCACUAAGAAGCCAGUACUUCUUUAUAUAAUACAUGUGAAAUAAUACAUAAAUUGACAAAUGUUA